RNAcentral lists this long non-coding RNA (1410 nucleotides) under Lepidothrix coronata (blue-crowned manakin). RNAcentral describes it as "lncRNA (ENSLCOG00000004194.1)". The record is from RNAcentral. Lineage: Eukaryota; Metazoa; Chordata; Aves; Passeriformes; Pipridae.
GGACGCGGGUGUCGCUCAGAGAAGAAGGAAGGGGGGGAGGGGGGGCAUUGGUUCCCCCGGUACCGGUGGGGCCAGGAUGGUCUCACCCACAGACGGUCCCUCCGAGCCGGGGGCUCUGCUCCCGACAGGGCCCGGCCCUGCGUGAGGCCAUGGGAGCCGCCGGCGGGAGGGGAGUCCGCCCGGGGACACCGCGGCCCAGCGGUGCCUCUGACCCUCCUCUGUGUUUUCCACAUCCAUCCUGGUGCUGCCCCGUAGGGUGAGGGAGAAGGGCAGCGGCAGGGAGGUAACACGGACCCCGGAGCACCCUGGGGACUCGGGAGGACCCCGAGAGGCCGAAGGCAUAGUCAGUGCUGAGAGCAGGGAUCAAAAUGUGAUCAAAGCCCCCGGACCGCCCUGUAGGUGCGGGUUUUAAAAGCAAACGUGUCACGGGAAAUAAAUUUCUCACACCCGAGCCCGUUUCGGCGUCAAAAGGAACCUGACGGUGUGACGAGACUGUAAAACUCCAUUUGCAAAAAUCUGCUACGUCAGGAGUGCUCGGAGCAGGAGGAGUUCGUCGCGUCGGCCUCGUCUGCGCUAGUGGUAACACCCAGGACCUGCCUCCGGCCCCCAGAGCCGCCCCCCGGCCGCAGGGAAAGGACACGGGGGCCCCGACCCCCCGGCCCCCCUGGCCGCCUAAAGUGCAGGUUUGCUUUAGUUUUUGUUUUUCUUUCAUUAAAAAAAUAACAGGAAUAAAACUUUCUUUUUUUUUUUCUUUUUCUUCUUCUCUUUUCGGCAAAGGGACAUUGGGGCGAGCACUCAGGGAGGGAGGCGGCGCUCCUGGGGGAUCUGCUGCUCGGAGGGGGAUCCAGCACUCAGGGGAUCCAGCUCUCCAAGGAGGAUCCGGGACUCAGAGGAGGAUCCAGCGCUCCAAGGAUCCAGUUCUCAGAGGAUCAAACUCUCUGAGGAGGAUCCAGCUUGAAGAGAAGGGUCUGACACCUGGAGGAUCCAACUCUCAGAGGAUCCAACUUGGAGGAGGAUCCAAUGCCGGAAGGAGGAUCCAACACUCAGUGGAGAGCUGGUGCUUAGAGGAUCCAGCUCUUGGAGGAUCCAGCCAUCAGAGGAUCCAACUCUUGGAGCAUCUGGCUCUUGGAGGAGGAUCCAGGUCCCAGAGGAGAAUCUGGUUCUUGGAAGAUCUGGCUCUUGGAGGAGGAUCCAGUGCUCCCCCACUGACGUUUGUCCAAUCUCCUGGCCCGUUCUUUGCCCCAGAUGUGCCGGGGGAGCUGCCCGUGCCGGACCCGCUCUCAGCCGCUGCUCCAAGGCUGGAGCCCCCCAGGCCACUGUUCUGGGGCCUCGACCCUGUGGGCUCUGGGCCGUCCUGCCCGGAUCCAGGCUGUCCCACCGACACCCAACCCUAGCUCCGGCACCACUGGC